RNAcentral lists this ribosomal RNA (831 nucleotides) under Lysinibacillus macroides. RNAcentral describes it as "bacterial SSU rRNA". It matches the Rfam family "Bacterial small subunit ribosomal RNA", at positions 76 to 890 of the family's 1533-position model. The record is from RNAcentral. Lineage: Bacteria; Bacillati; Bacillota; Bacilli; Caryophanales; Bacillaceae.
GAGCUUGCUCCUUUGACGUUAGCGGCGGACGGGUGAGUAACACGUGGGCAACCUACCCUAUAGUUUGGGAUAACUCCGGGAAACCGGGGCUAAUACCGAAUAAUCUCUUUUGCUUCAUGGUGAAAGACUGAAAGACGGUUUCGGCUGUCGCUAUAGGAUGGGCCCGCGGCGCAUUAGCUAGUUGGUGAGGUAACGGCUCACCAAGGCGACGAUGCGUAGCCGACCUGAGAGGGUGAUCGGCCACACUGGGACUGAGACACGGCCCAGACUCCUACGGGAGGCAGCAGUAGGGAAUCUUCCACAAUGGGCGAAAGCCUGAUGGAGCAACGCCGCGUGAGUGAAGAAGGUUUUCGGAUCGUAAAACUCUGUUGUAAGGGAAGAACAAGUACAGUAGUAACUGGCUGUACCUUGACGGUACCUUAUUAGAAAGCCACGGCUAACUACGUGCCAGCAGCCGCGGUAAUACGUAGGUGGCAAGCGUUGUCCGGAAUUAUUGGGCGUAAAGCGCGCGCAGGCGGUCCUUUAAGUCUGAUGUGAAAGCCCACGGCUCAACCGUGGAGGGUCAUUGGAAACUGGGGGACUUGAGUGCAGAAGAGGAGAGUGGAAUUCCAAGUGUAGCGGUGAAAUGCGUAGAGAUUUGGAGGAACACCAGUGGCGAACGCGACUUUCUGGUCUGUAACUGACGCUGAGGCGCGAAAGCGUGGGGAGCAAACAGGAUUACAUACCCUGGUAGUCCACGCCGUACACGAUGAGUGCUAAGUGUUAGGGGGUUUCCGCCCCUUAGUGCUGCAGCUAACGCACUAAGCUCUCCGCCUGGCGAGUACGGUCGCA